AUUGUGUCCAUAAUCAGAAAGCAAAACUGCUACUCAUGUGUAAGACUGUGAGUAAAGGAUGCUUUAGAGAAAAGAGACAAAAGGUGCUCUCCCAUUUUAGAGUGAUGAGACCAGUGACUAGCACAGGACCUGGUAGAGGACAGAUGGUUGCUUGUCUGCAGACAGAAUAUGUAUCUUCAUUUACUUUUUUUCUAUUUGACACUUCCCUUUUCAGCACCCAUGUUAGCAUGUCAUUUUCAAAAGCCACCAAAUAUAUCAAGGUGUUGUUUAUCUACUAAUGGCUAAACUGGCUUAUCUCAGGUUAGGAAUUAAUAAGUGUUAUUUUAAAUAAACCUAGUGUCAGUUUACUUUGAAAGAUUGCUAAUAGUGCAGUAGGCAAGAGAGACUUCAAAUGCCAAUCCAUAGGUAACAACUUAUGUCUAAUUUUAUGAGCGUCAAUAAAUAUCCAAGAUAUUAUAGUUUUGAGAAUUCUCCUUUGCUGUGGGAACAAAUUAUUUUAAACUACAUUUUGGCCCAAGCUCAAAUAACACUUCAAAGAGCAAGGGAUAGUGUGGUAAAACAAUUGCUGCCUGGUGAUCUGAAGAAUUGGGUUCUAGCCCAGCUGCUCUUUGGCUUCACCCUGAUCACCUGACACAGUGUGUUAGUCAACUUUCCCUCACUAUAACAAAAUAGCUGAGAUGAUUAACUUUUGAAAAAGAGAGGUUUUAUUUUGGCUCACAGUUUUGGACAUUCUAGUCGAUGACUGAUUGGGCAACACAUUAUGGCAAAAGCUUGUGGCAGGAGCAAAACCACUCAUCAGGAGCAGGGAGCAAAAAGAGGAAGAAGAAGGGUCCAGGGUUCCACAAUCCCCUUUAAGGAUAUACCUCCAAUAACCUAAAGACCUCCCACUAGGCCUUACCUCUUAAAGCUUCCCUCACCUCCUAAUAUCAUCACCCUGGGGACCAAGCUCUAACACAUGGGGCUCUGGGGUAUACUGAAGAUCCAAACUAUAAUACAUAGAUUCUUAAUUUCCAUCUGUGAACUAUGGGUCUUGAACUAAGUCAUCUUCAAAGGAUAUAGGACUGUUACCAUUCUGUAUUUUACUACAAGAAUAAUUUUUAAAACAGACCUAUUGUUCACACCAACAAAAAAGCUAUAAUAAUACCUUUAACUGUGUCUUCAGAAACAUUAUGGAGGGGGGUCCUUGAGUCUCACUAUUAUCUGAGUGCACUAUCAGGGCUGAUUUAACCUUUAAACACAGUGGGCACUAUGGCCCAUGAUACUUAUAGGGGUCCAUAGAAAUUUUUUAAUUGUAGUUGAUUUUAAAAAUCAGAAGAAAAAAUAUGAACAUAAUAAUAAUGAAUACAGUUGAUAAAUAUGCAGGCUAGAUUACAUUUCAUACCAACUCAGUCAUAAAAUUUGAUUUUUAUGACUUUUU
RNAcentral lists this long non-coding RNA (1417 nucleotides) under Marmota monax (woodchuck). The record is from RNAcentral. Lineage: Eukaryota; Metazoa; Chordata; Mammalia; Rodentia; Sciuridae.